GAAGCAGGAGCAGAGAGAUGAGGUGCUGGCUUUGAAGAUGGAGGAAGGGGCCGUGAGCCAAGGGAUAUGAGUGGCUUCUAGAAGCCAGAAAGGGCUAAGGAAUGGAGCCCCCAGAAGGAGCACAGCUUUGCUGACAGCUUGAUUUUAGCGCAGUGAGACCCAUGUUGAACGUCUAUCCUACAGAAUUGUAAGACAAGAAAUCUGUGUUGUUUAAGCAGCUCAGCGGUGGUGAUCUGUUACCGCAGCCACAGAGAAGGAACGCACGUACGGAUGUAGGCACUGCGAUGGUUUGGAGAGACUUUGUUUCACAAAUGUCCACUGAUGGUGCAGAGUUAUAAAUCUCAGAGAAGUGUGAAAUAUACAGGAAUCACUCACACACCUUUCAUUUGUGCCUUGUGAGUAUCGCCAUAGACGAUGAGCAAAGAGCAUGUGGCUAAUAAUGUGUCUGGAUUUGCCCUGGGACAUCUCCACUCCUCCCAGAAGCCCUCCAAGAACCAAGUGGACAAGGAGUCGAGUCUCUGCGGGUGGGAAACACACCGAGCUCCACAUCGAGCUCUCAGUGAGGAUCAUGGAACAAACCAGCGUUUGGAGUGUGAGAUGGAAAAAAUCAAUCACAGGGAAUUCUAAUGGUGUAAUUAAUUGUAUCUUCUUGGUUAAUCAUUAUUCGUGUCAUGGGGUGUUAUAAGUUCCCCCGAAACAGAUGAGCAGAGCAUAAACUUCUUUUUAAAGAGUUUUUUAGUUUCCUAAAGCGAGUCUAGUGUUCUGAGCUCUUUGCUGACUGGUGUGGCCCAGUAACCCUUCGCUGAACGUGAAUUUGGACAGAGCGUUUCUUGGCACAUUGACGGUGCUUAAAAAGGUACCCAACAGAUGGCCCAAUUGGUUCAUGAUAGAAAUAGGCGGUGUUUGGAGAAAUUCUCACUGUGUAUCAGUGAUUUACCAAUCUGAGCUCCAGGAGGGUAGGAGGGGGCUCCCAGUUGCUAAAUCUGCUCUGCCGGCUCUGCUGGGAGCUCUGGAGGGGUCUCCCAGAGAGCUGCAUAGGACGAAGCAGGAGUUACCAGAAUCAGCUUCUCCUGUCUGCUGGGGCUUAGCACAUGCCUGACACACAGUAGGUGCUCAAUAAGUGUUUGAAACCAAGCUCCUCCCCUACUGGUGAUUCGAUUUUAAGGUGAGGAGUCUCAUUCUUGUGCUUUGGGGGAUACGCAGCAUGGUUCAUGGGGGAAGCGGGGUCAACCCUAUGCACAAGCGGUCCUCAACUGCGUUUGCCUCCAGUUCCUUCCACUCCUGCCCCAGGUGCUGUCCACUGGGAAAACGCACUGACUCCAGUCCCCUGAGCACAUGUUCUAAGGUGGGAGCUCUUCCGGCUUGGUUCAUCCAGAAGUUCGUCAAAGUCUGUGACCCACUGAAUAUUUCUUGUGAGAGUGUCCCAGCUUGUAAUCCUUUCCUAUCAGUCUAGCGUGUUUCCUACUGGAAGGUCCCACCUGGAAAGGAAAGCUGAGGGUUUGGAACAAUGAGAUUGUCACCUGAUGAGCUGGUGCUGAAUUGAGAAAAUGCCGUUGGCUCCUGCCAAUCAGUUCACCUUCUUGAGGAAGUUGCACUCCGUUAAACACUUUGUUUACAAAAAACAGGACUUAGCUAAGGGUCAGCCACAGAAAG
Equus caballus (horse) is the source of this 1653-nucleotide long non-coding RNA. The record is from Ensembl. NCBI's taxonomy places the organism in Eukaryota, Metazoa, Chordata, Mammalia, Perissodactyla, Equidae.